UACGUAGGGUGCAAGCGUUAAUCGGAAUUACUGGGCGUAAAGCGCGCGUAGGUGGUUCGUUAAGUUGGAUGUGAAAGCCCCGGGCUCAACCUGGGAACUGCAUCCAAAACUGGCGAGCUAGAGUACGGUAGAGGGUGGUGGAAUUUCCUGUGUAGCGGUGAAAUGCGUAGAUAUAGGAAGGAACACCAGUGGCGAAGGCGACCACCUGGACUGAUACUGACACUGAGGUGCGAAAGCGUGGGGAGCAAACAGG
RNAcentral lists this ribosomal RNA (253 nucleotides) under uncultured bacterium. RNAcentral describes it as "partial 16S ribosomal RNA". It matches the Rfam family "Bacterial small subunit ribosomal RNA", at positions 524 to 776 of the family's 1533-position model. The record is from RNAcentral.